Long non-coding RNA from Rhincodon typus (whale shark), 237 nucleotides. RefSeq lists it as uncharacterized. The transcript is spliced from 4 exons. The record is from RefSeq and is a predicted model, not a curated record. Lineage: Eukaryota; Metazoa; Chordata; Chondrichthyes; Orectolobiformes; Rhincodontidae.
CUGGCUGAUAUUAAUGGAGAUGUCUGCAGGCUUAGCCGUUGCUUCCUCCAGCCAAAAGGACCUGACUUCUCAGCAUUUCACCAGUCUGUCGAUUCCUCCACAGAAAACAGCAACCAAAUGGAAAGUAUUGAAGAAAAUCUUCACAAGCACAGAGAAUGGUAACAAACUGGGGUUUUAACUUCUUCCAUUGGAAUACAUGGAUACACUUUGUGUGAAGUUGAUUGCUUUGAAGGGGAG